RNAcentral lists this unclassified non-coding RNA (102 nucleotides) under uncultured Basidiomycota. RNAcentral's name for it is "sequence contains ITS1". Lineage: Eukaryota; Fungi; Basidiomycota. The record is from RNAcentral.
GUGAAUGCCUUCGGGCUUAAACUAUUCCAAACCUCUGUGAACUGUGCCCUUCGGGGUAUCUUACAAACAUUGUGUAAUGAACGUCUAUAUCAUAACAAAACA